UCUCCGUAGGUGAACCUGCGGAGGGAUCAUUAUAGAGUUCUCGUCCUCGCGGGUAGAUCUCCCACCCACUGUUAUCGUUACUGUGUUGCUUUGGCGGGCCGCCGGGCCCCGCUCGGCCGCCGGCUCCGGCUGGCGCGCGCCCGCCAGAGGCCCAGCAAACUCUGAAUGUUAGUGUCGUCUGAGUACUAUAUAAUAGUUAAAACUUUCAACAACGGAUCUCUUGGUUCUG
Molecule: unclassified non-coding RNA, 229 nt
Filed under: plant metagenome
Description: partial contains small subunit ribosomal RNA, internal transcribed spacer 1, and 5.8S ribosomal RNA
Source: RNAcentral